Molecule: ribosomal RNA, 1372 nt
Filed under: uncultured bacterium
Lineage: Bacteria
Description: bacterial SSU rRNA
Rfam family: Bacterial small subunit ribosomal RNA
Source: RNAcentral
GAUGAACGCUGGCGGCGUGCCUAAUACAUGCAAGUCGAGCGAACGGACGAGAAGCUUGCUUCUCUGAUGUUAGCGGCGGACGGGUGAGUAACACGUGGAUAACCUACCUAUAAGACUGGGAUAACUUCGGGAAACCGGAGCUAAUACCGGAUAAUAUUUUGAACCGCAUGGUUCAAAAGUGAAAGACGGUCUUGCUGUCACUUAUAGAUGGAUCCGCGCUGCAUUAGCUAGUUGGUAAGGUAACGGCUUACCAAGGCAACGAUGCAUAGCCGACCUGAGAGGGUGAUCGGCCACACUGGAACUGAGACACGGUCCAGACUCCUACGGGAGGCAGCAGUAGGGAAUCUUCCGCAAUGGGCGAAAGCCUGACGGAGCAACGCCGCGUGAGUGAUGAAGGUCUUCGGAUCGUAAAACUCUGUUAUUAGGGAAGAACAUAUGUGUAAGUAACUGUGCACAUCUUGACGGUACCUAAUCAGAAAGCCACGGCUAACUACGUGCCAGCAGCCGCGGUAAUACGUAGGUGGGCAGCGUUAUCCGGGAAUAUUGGGCGUAAAGCGCGCGUAGGCGGUUUUUUAAGUCUGAUGUGAAAGCCCACGGCUCAACCGUGGAGGGUCAUUGGAAACUGGAAAACUUGAGUGCAGAAGAGGAAAGUGGAAUUCCAUGUGUAGCGGUGAAAUGCUCAGAGAUAUGGAGGAACACCAGUGGCGAAGGCGACUUUCUGGUCUGUAACUGACGCUGAUGUGCGAAAGCGUGGGGAUCAAACAGGAUUAGAUACCCUGGUAGUCCACGCCGUAAACGAUGAGUGCUAAGUGUUAGGGGGUUUCCGCCCCUUAGUGCUGCAGCUAACGCAUUAAGCACUCCGCCUGGGGAGUACGACCGCAAGGUUGAAACUCAAAGGAAUUGACGGGGACCCGCACAAGCGGUGGAGCAUGUGGUUUAAUUCGAAGCAACGCGAAGAACCUUACCAAAUCUUGACAUCCUUUGACAACUCUAGAGAUAGAGCCUUCCCCUUCGGGGGACAAAGUGACAGGUGGUGCAUGGUUGUCGUCAGCUCGUGUCGUGAGAUGUUGGGUUAAGUCCCGCAACGAGCGCAACCCUUAAGCUUAGUUGCCAUCAUUAAGUUGGGCACUCUAAGUUGACUGCCGGUGACAAACCGGAGGAAGGUGGGGAUGACGUCAAAUCAUCAUGCCCCUUAUGAUUUGGGCUACACACGUGCUACAAUGGACAAUACAAAGGGCAGCGAAACCGCGAGGUCAAGCAAAUCCCAUAAAGUUGUUCUCAGUUCGGAUUGUAGUCUGCAACUCGACUACAUGAAGCUGGAAUCGCUAGUAAUCGUAGAUCAGCAUGCUACGGUGAAUACGUUCCCGGGUCU